This 497-nucleotide ribosomal RNA is filed under the name uncultured bacterium. RNAcentral's name for it is "partial 16S ribosomal RNA". It matches the Rfam family "Bacterial small subunit ribosomal RNA", at positions 28 to 507 of the family's 1533-position model. The record is from RNAcentral.
GAUGAACGCUGGCGGCGUGCCUAAUACAUGCAAGUCGAGCGAACGAACGAGAAGCUUGCUUCUCUGAUGUUAGCGGCGGACGGGUGAGUAACACGUGGAUAACCUACCUAUAAGACUGGGAUAACUUCGGGAAACCGGAGCUAAUACCGGAUAAUAUUUUGAACCGCAUGGUUCAAAAGUGAAAGACGGCCUUGCUGUCACUUAUAGAUGGAUCCCCGCUGCAUUAGCUAGUUGGUAAGGUAACGGCUUACCAAGGCAACGAUGCAUAGCCGACCUGAGAGGGUGAUCGCCCACACUGGAACUGGGACACGGUCCUGGCUCCUACGGGAGGCAGCAGUAGGGAAUCUUCCGCAGUGGGCGAAAGCCUGACGGAGCAACGCCGCGUGAGUGAUGAAGGUCUUCGGAUCGUAAAACUCUGUUAUUAGGGAAGAACAUAUGUGUAAGUAACUGUGCACAUCUUGACGGUACCUAAUCAGAAAGCCACGGCUAACUACGUG